AAUUGACACAGGGAGGUAGUGACAAGAAAUAACAAUACGGGGCUUAAAGUCUUGUAAUUGGAAUGAUGGGAAUUUAAACCUCUUCCAGAGUAUCAAUUGGAGGGCAAGUCUGGUGCCAGCAGCCGCGGUAAUUCCAGCUCCAAUAGCGUAUAUUAAAAUUGUUGCAGUUAAAAAGCUCGUAGUUGAAUUUCUGCUGCAUUGCUUGUGUCCCUCUGGGGUCUGUGCAUGUGGCUUUUUUCGGACGGAGUUUCUUUGUCUGAAUGUUUACUUUGAGAAAAUUAGAGUGCUCAAAGCAGGCUUUCGCCUUGAAUAGUUUAGCAUGGAAUAAUAAAGUAGGACUUUGGUUCUAUUUUGUUGGUUUUAGGUACCAAAGUAAUGGUUAAUAGGAACAGUGGGGCAUCAUA
This 404-nucleotide ribosomal RNA is filed under the name Theileria annulata. RNAcentral describes it as "SSU rRNA". It matches the Rfam family "Eukaryotic small subunit ribosomal RNA", at positions 447 to 893 of the family's 1831-position model. The record is from RNAcentral. Lineage: Eukaryota; Apicomplexa; Aconoidasida; Piroplasmida; Theileriidae.